RNAcentral lists this ribosomal RNA (600 nucleotides) under Seohaeicola sp. RNAcentral describes it as "bacterial SSU rRNA". It matches the Rfam family "Bacterial small subunit ribosomal RNA", at positions 102 to 737 of the family's 1533-position model. Lineage: Bacteria; Pseudomonadati; Pseudomonadota; Alphaproteobacteria; Rhodobacterales; Roseobacteraceae. The record is from RNAcentral.
ACGGGUUAGUAACGCGUGGGAACGUGCCCUUCUCUACGGAAUAGCCUCGGGAAACUGAGAGUAAUACCGUAUACGCCCUUUGGGGGAAAGAUUUAUCGGAGAAGGAUCGGCCCGCGUCUGAUUAGAUAGUUGGUGGGGUAAUGGCCUACCAAGUCUACGAUCAGUAGCUGGUUUUAGAGGAUGAUCAGCAACACUGGGACUGAGACACGGCCCAGACUCCUACGGGAGGCAGCAGUGGGGAAUCUUAGACAAUGGGCGCAAGCCUGAUCUAGCCAUGCCGCGUGAGUGAUGAAGGCCUUAGGGUCGUAAAGCUCUUUCGCCAGAGAUGAUAAUGACAGUAUCUGGUAAAGAAACCCCGGCUAACUCCGUGCCAGCAGCCGCGGUAAUACGGAGGGGGUUAGCGUUGUUCGGAAUUACUGGGCGUAAAGCGCACGUAGGCGGAUCAGAAAGUUGGGGGUGAAAUCCCAGGGCUCAACCCUGGAACGGCCUCCAAAACUCCUGGUCUUGAGUUCGAGAGAGGUGAGUGGAAUUCCGAGUGUAGAGGUGAAAUUCGUAGAUAUUCGGAGGAACACCAGUGGCGAAGGCGGCUCACUGGCUCGA